UNUUGCACAAUGGGCGAAAGCCUGNUGCAGCGACGCCGCGUGGGGGAUGAAGCUUCUCGGAGUGUAAACCCCUUUCGACCCGGACGAAUGCCCCGCAAGGGGACUGACGGUACGGGUAUAAGAAGCCCCGGCUAACUACGUGCCAGCAGCCGCGGUAAGACGUAGGGGGCCAGCGUUGCUCGGAAUUACNUGGGUGUAAAGGGUUCGUAGGCGGUGUGGCAAGUCGGGAGUGAAAUCUCUGGGCUCAACCCAGAGUCUGCUUCCGAAACUGCUGUGCUUGAGUGUGGGAGAGGCGCGUGGAAUUGCAGGUGUAGCGGUGAAAUGCGUAGAUAUCUGCAGGAACACCCGUGGCGAAAGCGGCGCGCUGGACCACUACUGACGCUGAGGAACGAAAGCUAGGGGAGCAAACAGGAUUAGAUACCCUGGUAGUCCUAGCCCUAAACGAUCAGGACUUGGGGUGCCACCCGUUCGGGUGUCGUCCCGGAGCUAACGCGUUAAGUCCUGCACCUGGGGAGUACGGUCGCAAGACUGAAACUCAAAGAAAUUGACGGA
Molecule: ribosomal RNA, 552 nt
Filed under: uncultured bacterium
Lineage: Bacteria
Description: bacterial SSU rRNA
Rfam family: Bacterial small subunit ribosomal RNA
Source: RNAcentral